UAUUCUUCUUGUGUCCAGGAAUACAAAGGU
This 30-nucleotide non-coding RNA is filed under the name Mus musculus (house mouse). Lineage: Eukaryota; Metazoa; Chordata; Mammalia; Rodentia; Muridae. The record is from RNAcentral.